GCGCUGUGUACCGUGUAGCUGAUGCCUCGCAGGCGCUCCGGGUCCCUGCUGUCGCGGUAGCGCCGCGCGGUGGGUGAUGGGAGAGCGCGCCCAUUCCCACGCCGCGCCAAGUGCCACGGGAGCAGGUGGGGCCGCGUGUACAGGCGCGGGGCGGUUGGGCUGCCUCUCAUGAUCCUCUCAUGAUCCUGCCUCUCAUGAUCCUCAGCGGGCGGUGCCCGGCGGUCCCUCAGAUCCGGGAAAUCUGCACCUCGCUGUGGCGUAGACCAAGGGGCCGAUGCUGCUUCAGCCCGCAGUUACUGCCCUGGCGUCAGCCAGACACUGGGGUGCUGCUGGGCGUCGAGAGGGCUGCUGCGGGGCCGGGCUAAGCAUGGGGGGCUGCAGGUGUCGGAGCGGAUGUAGGCAUAGCGGGGCUGCUGGGCCUCGAGAGCGCUCUGGAACGGCAUGCCCGCAGAGUGCGUCUCAUCACCCGUUGCCGGUGCCGGGAACCUCGUUAGGACCCGGUUCGAUGUAGCUGCAGCCCGGGCGCGAGAGGCAGGGGGCAGGCAGGCCGAGAGGACCCUGUACCUACAUGCCUGGGGGCUGCAGACGGCUCUGGGCCUCCUUGUUGUGGGUGUAAGUGUGUGCUUCCGACUCAGGAGAGGAGAGCAAGGGCGGGCUACCAAGGCCUCCCCACAGGGCUGUGCCCAGCCUAAGCCUGCCGAGUCAGCACCCAGAUCCGGGACAAGAUAGGUGAGGAUGAAGUGGUGCUCUUCUCACUUGCACGAGCCGCCCCACGCCACCUCUCCUCGGUUUCACGGUGCCUAGAGAAGAGGUGGGAGAGGGUGCAGGCGCCCCAGCUCAGGAUCUAAUGCCUGUGGGCCAAGGACCUGGAUGCAGGCCAGGAGUCUUUGGGGCCACGGCAGGCAGCCGGAUUCACCGGAAAGUGACGCUUCUCAAGGGGAACACACACGUAACACACCAGCUCCCCUUCUGCCCUGGUCCAGUGACUCCUUUCAUGAAAGCUCUCUGAAAUGUUAUCUGCAUUUACACCCAAACUCACUCACUUUGAUCCCUGAAACGCGAAUCAAAGAUCACAUUGUACCUUCCCUGGGUCUGUGGGGCUUUCAGCAGCCUGGGCCAAAAAUAAUAAAAGUGGCACCGAGCCAGGAAACGCCUCCUUGAAGUGGGAAUGAAACUUGAAUUUUUUUCGGUUGUAUCUUUCCUAAUUGACCUGAUAAUUUAAACUUCCUCCCUCAAGGGAAAGGUGGGGGUUCCCACAAAUUCAGCUUACCUCAGCCUCUAGGCAGCUCAGCCUACAGCUUAGCGCCCAUCAGCAGAGUGGGCAGUGGGCCUGUGCAAGAGAUGAAUCCAACUGAGCCAGAAAAGCCCUUUUUUGGUCCAAAUUUUUUUUCUUUCAGGCCUUGUCCUGUGUAUACCAGUCAUGCACCACAUAACAUUUUGGUCAACAAGGGACCACAUAUAUAACUGGUCAUCCAGUAAGCUAUGGUUACUUUAUUAUUGAAGAAAGAAAAUUUUUAGGCCAGGCGCGGUGGUGGGUCACGCCUGUAAUCCCAGCACUUUGGGAGGCCGAGGCGGGCAGCUCAUUUGAGGUCAGGAGUUUGAGACCAGCCUGGCCAACAUGGUGAAACCCUGUCUCUACCAAAAAUACAAAAAGUUAGCCGGGUGUGGUAGCAUGUGCCUGUAAUCCCAGCUACUUGGGAGACUGAGGCAGGAAAAUCACUUGAACCCGGGAGGCAGAGGUGGUAGUGAGCUGAGAUUGUACCACUGCACUCCAGCCUGGGCAACAGCAAGACUCCGUCUCAAAAAAAGGAAAACGUUUAAUAUAAAUAUGGUGCAGCCUAAGUGUACAGUGUUUAUAAAGUCUGAAGUAGGCCGGGCGCGGUGGCUCAAGCCUGUAAUCCCAGCACUUUGGGAGGCUGAGACGGGCGGAUCACGAGGUCAGGCGAUCAAGACCAUCCUGGCUAACACGGUGAAACCCCGUCUCUACUAAAAAAUACAAAAAAAAAAAAAAAAAAAA
Molecule: long non-coding RNA, 2017 nt
Organism: Macaca fascicularis (crab-eating macaque)
Lineage: Eukaryota; Metazoa; Chordata; Mammalia; Primates; Cercopithecidae
Source: Ensembl